RNAcentral lists this unclassified non-coding RNA (7534 nucleotides) under Haliotis rufescens (red abalone). RNAcentral describes it as "polyhomeotic-like protein 1, transcript variant X1". Lineage: Eukaryota; Metazoa; Mollusca; Gastropoda; Lepetellida; Haliotidae. The record is from RNAcentral.
CCUCCUUAAUGCCCUGUAUGUCCCUGAUCGGUAUGGGUAGUUUGGAUGGACUCGAGUCCCUGUACACAAGCACCCAACCAGGGGAGAUAACUCUCAUCUUCACUUCUGUUGCAGACAAGAAAGAGAAACAAAACAGUUUCUGAGUGCAUUUUGACAUUUAGCAAAAUGCCAAGAUGUUGAUUGUGUGUCGUAUUGACACACAGUCUUACUGUCAUCAGUUGUGUUGAAGUAUCUAAAUGUGUAACUGGUGACAUACGUAGUUGCUACUGAUUUUCUUUUGAUGUGUUAUCAAGGAAAAAGAUACAGCGAGUAUGGUUUUACCCUAAUGUUAGCAUUAUUCCAGAAAUGGGCUUCAUGGGUAUCAAUGAAGGGAAUCAGACCUGGGGCUUUAUCCUGGCCCCCUGAAAAAAAGAAAUGCGGGUGAUAUUGAUGUACAUAUAUGAAAGACAUUUGCACAUAAAUGAUAUGUGAAGAAUGAAUAGGAUGUCAUUUGUAGAAUCAUCAAAAUGCAGCUAGAACCAAAUAACUAACACAAAUAUUACAAAAUGAAAAAGAAAAAUGAGAACCACAAGAUUGAUCUGAGGGAGAAUGACAACUUUGGAAUAUUGUUUUGUUCAGUGAUGAUUUAUCCAUAUAUAUAUGUACUGUUUUGUUCAGUGAUGAUUUAUCCAUAUAUAUAUGGUUUUGCUCAGUGAUGAUUUAUCCAUAUAUAUACGGUUUUGUUCAGUGAUGAUUUAUCCAUAUAUAUACGGUCUGACGUCUCCUUACUGCCAACAACAUCUUGUGCCACCGUCCUGCUCGUGUACCCAUCCUGAGAGAUCGUCAUCGACAGGCCCGACUGCAAUGGGCAAGGCAGCAUCAAAAUUGGCGUCAACAGCAAUGGAGAAGAAUCAUCUUCACUGAUGAAAGUCCCUACUGUGUUUCAACGGUGGAUGGCAGUCAGGGUCUGGCAAAGGAGGGGCGAACAUUAUGCUGAUGCUUGUGUUAUGGAACGAGACCCGUGGGGCGGACCAAGCAUCAUGGUUUUGGGUGGAAUCGGACUGAACCAGAGAGUGGGAGCUGUGGUCUUUCAGAAUAUUGGUCCAGGCAGGGGUAAGGGCAUCACAGCUCUCUGCUACAUUGACCAAGUCCUCAGACUCCAUAUCGUGCCUUUUUUGGCCCGUCAUCAAAACCACACCUUUCAGCAAGACAACGCCCGUCCCCACACUGCCAGAGUCACCAGGGACUUCCUCCAGCAGCACAACAUCCAAAUCAUGCCUGGGCCUGCCCUCAGUCCGGAUUUGAAUCCCAUUGAACACUUGUGGGAUGAGAUCCAACGCCGACUCAACGACGUACGCCCAAGGCCGACAAAUGCAGCAGAACUGCGUGUAGCGUUCCUGAGGAUAUGGGCCCAUAUCCCAAUGGCCUACAUUAACAGACUUGUCCACUCCAUGUACAGGAGAUGUGUGGCUGUAGUCAACGCCCAUGGGUGGCCACACCAGGUCGGCUUGGCUGUAGACUGGACAGGAGGAGCCAUGCUCACGGCUCACCCAUCACAAAGACAUUUGACACCGGGGAUGAUUGUGACCACUUCAGUAACAGCCACUUCAGGGAGUAACGUCAACAGUGUCAAGGGGUCAACCAAUGGGAACAAGUCUCAGUCCAUACAAGGGCCCACUCAAGGCCAGGCAACAGCUCUCGUAGGGGGCAAGCCUGCUGUGAUGUCGGCCCAGGCUGCUGCCCAACCUCUAGUGCUGGGACAGAUAGGUGCCGUGUUCUCGGGACAAGGAACGAACAACCCUAACUUCGUGGCCCAGGUGGCGUCCUCCAAGGGCCAGGCAGUUUCCCUCUCCCACCCGGGCCAGCCACAGCUCAUCACAUCACAGGCGCCACUUCGGCUCAGUCAGCCACAGUUGGUCACAAACACAGGCCAGAUCAUCACAUCGCAGCCCAUGCUCACCAAUCAGGCUGUACUUCAGGCCAUGGCUAGUUUGCAGCAAGGCUUCCCAUUGGCUGCCCACCAGCCCCUAUUGAACCAUGCACAAUCCCCAGCCAUCCUGGCUGGCCAAUCACUGUAUAUCAGGACAGCUAAUCCCAUUCAGACACAGCAAAGCAUGAUGGCAGCUAAUAUGCAGGCAGCCUUGGCCAAUAGUAUGAAGGGUGGCAAGAUGGAGAUGCCACAGAACCUACAAGUAAACACAAAACCCAGUGGAGGUUCUUCAAAAAGCUCAUCACAAACUGGAAAAACACUCCUACCAUCUAAGGCAACCACUGCCAAAAUCCCACCUACUCACAUAUCUGGCCAAGCCACGAAACUGAACAUACCAACUGUCAUCCCCAAACAGUCAAAAGGACGGACAAAAUCCCAGUCCAAGUCCUCAUCGUCAGUCCCCUCCACCCCAACCAGUACAAAAACACCCCCUGUCAGUCACUCCAAACCAGCCACACCCACAAACCAACCCACCAUUGUUGUGCCCCCAGCAAAGAGCCAAUCAGAUUCUGAGGUGGAAAGGGCAAAGAAGUCGACACCACCUCCUGACAUUACUUCCACUAAGGAGAAGUCGGGGAGCGUGACUGUUGACGAAGGAAGCCCAGAGGAAAAGGACAAAGACGUUAUUGAUGACAAUGAUAAGCCACCAGUUAUCACGAAGGAGGUGGAGACGCCGAUGGACACAUCGAUGCCAGAUAAGCCGCCUCCACCGCUGGAGCCAGCCACAGUUGUGGAAAAGCAGAAAGCUAUUGUGAAGCCCCACAUCCUGACUCACAUCAUCGAGGGCUUCGUCAUACAGGAGGGACCAGAACCCUUCCCAGUGCAGCGGUCGUCCCUGCUGACGGAGUUCAUCCCCCCCAAACCUACUCGUACCGACAAGGACUCAGAUGAGGAGCUGAGUGAAUCCCUCAUGGACCUGCCGCCCCCGCUUCUGGAGCCUGAAGGCUUGCCAACACGGAGCAGCACCGAGACCCAACUGCAGCCCAAUAUGCUGAAGUGCGAGUACUGCGGCAAAAUGGCCACUGCCGUCAAGUUCCGGCGCUCUAAGCGGUUCUGCUCCAUGGCAUGUGCCAAGCGCUAUAACGUGGCCUGCUCUAGACGUGUUGGCUUGUUCAAGAACAAAGCAGGUACAGUGAAGCUGGUCAAGAAGAGGAAGCAUCCCCUGGCGGUUAGGAAAGGCUGGCGACCGGGAAGAGGGGGCCGCCUCGCUUACAACAUCAAUAUGAGACUGCCAGAGGAGGCCAGCAGUUCUAACAGUGGUCAGGAGGAGACCAGUUCCUCUCCCACCUCCCCUAUCCCCUUGCCGGACAUGGAGAUGGACACUCUCUCGCCAUCCUCAGAACCAUCCAAGUGGACGGUGAUGGAGGUGUAUGAGUUCAUCAAGUCGCUGCCGGGCUGCGCCACCUAUGCGGAGGAGUUCCUCUCCCAGGAGAUCGACGGCCAAGCACUGCUGUUGCUAAAGGAGGACCAUCUGAUGACGGCCAUGAACAUCAAGCUUGGCCCCGCUCUCAAGAUCUGUGCCCGCAUAUCCAGCCUCAAGGACGAGUGCGUGUAACACUCACAGUGCUGUGCUCAAAGACAGGCAAACCAUGUUAUACCUUGCUGUGCAACACUCCCGAGAUGGAAAACAUUUGUGAUUUGAAGAGACUGGUGUCACAACGUAAAUUGAUCCAUGGCAGGGGUGUGUCCCUGUGUGAUGACUGGACAUGGUUUGAACAGGCAGCUAUCACAUCAGUGGAACAUGUCAUAUCCAGCUGCGCCUGUAUCUUCCACCAAGCUGAGCCACAUGGCUUCAUACAUCAUCACCAGCCUUUAUAAACUAUACCAGCUCAUGUUGCACACAUGGACAUUGCUUUGUAGUUGAGAGCACAGCUUGUUGUUAGAGGUACACCUUCACCCAGAUGAGUUCUACAAGUGCAGUGCCAUUGCUCCUGUUCAAGUCAACAUUUGUAGAAUUGUUGGUCACACAAGACUGAUGGGUGUCAGUCAGGGCUUGUAGUAUGGGCCUAGACUCAACUAUACCAGAACCAAAGAUACAUGUGUAAGCAAUCCAGUUUCAGAUAAGAGUAAUAGUCAUUGGGAAAACAUCACCCCAAUUUACUGUUGUAUGUCAUUUUACAUGUUACAUCCUUUCUAUGUAGUGUAAUUAGCCCCAUGUAACUACACAGUAUCCUGUACCUAUUUAGUCACCUAUUCAUUAUGUAUGAGCCAAGCAACAGUCAUCCACACCCGACCUGUCUACCCAGAGUUCCCUCCCCUGUGCCAGGCCUUGUGGUAAGGCAGGACACAAAUGUUCUACAGUCUCUGUAACAAUAGUGCUGAACUGAACCAUUACUCAUUCUAAGAGGCAUUAUGCUGUAACACACUCAAAAUGUUGAUAGUAAAUCCACUCCUGUCUGGGGCCUGUGGAGCUUUCCACUGGAAGGGUGUCUUGCCUCAGUAGCUUUCUCCGGGUUAAAGAGAUUUAUAGUAAGAUGGGAUUGUUUCCGGUCUCUCAUAAAAAAUAGUUUGAUGGCACUCACUGAAUAUUCUAUUUAUUGUACAAUUCAAGGUAUACAUGCAUGUUUCUUCUCAAACAGCACUGAAUACCAUAAAUGUUAGGAAACUGUUCCAGUUUUAGAAAUAGAAAAAAACACUUGUUCCUGAUGACUGCAAAACAAGAUCUAAAAAGAUUUCUAAUUGUUUGUUUAAUCGGAUUAAUUCAUAUCAUGAGUUGCUCAAUAUUUAUUUCAUCAAUGGUGUGAUAUUAUUUACUGGUAGAGAAGUGAUCAUCUAACAUAUUUUGGGGCACAAGAUUUCAGAGGCUUCAGGUUCUCCUUUUAGAAUUGUUUGUUCCAUACACAAGAUGGUUUCCAGGAGAUAAGACUUCAAAAGGAUCAUUUUAAGAAUUUCAGGAUCUUUCAGAUAUUUUUGUAUUUGAAAUAGAACUUUACCAUGAUGCUAGUGAUUACCGUGCAGCACAUUUUAAAGUUGUAAUCAAUAUAGCUUUAGUUAUGCCAACUGUGGAUCUAUUAUGCAUAAUUUUAUUAUUGACCAUAUUCAUCCAGGAAUGAUAGACCACAAUACCGUAUCAUUCUCACACUUUUUUACUGUCAUGACCAACAUGCUUGAAUCUCACACCUUGCCAAUGUUAAACCUUGUACAUAAGCAGAAACCUACAACUGUACAUACAGCUUUGUAAUAUUUGUAGCAUUGUCAUUUUCUACUUCACAGAAUCUGUAGCAACCCGCCUCCUUAUUAACUUUUCAAUAUGUAAAAUAACUACUUAGCCUACUGCCAGGUCAAAGCAUGUGAUGAUGUUCACUGCCGGGUCAAAGCAUGUGAUGAUGUUCACUGCCAGGUCAAAGCAUGUGAUGAUGUUCAUUGCCUGGUCAAAGCAUGUGAUGAUGUUCACUGUCAGGUCCAAGCAUGUGAUGAUGUUCACUGCUGGAUUAAAGCAUGUGAUGAUGUUCACUGCCAGGUCAAAGCAUGUGAUGAUGUUCACUGCCAGGUCAAAGCAUGUGAUGAUGUUCACUGCUGGAUUAAAGCAUGUGAUGAUGUUCACUGCCAGGUCAAAGCAUGUGAUGAUGUUCACUGCAAGGUCAAAGCAUGUGAUGAUGUUCACUGCCGAAUUAAAGCAUGUGAUGAUGUUCACUGCCAGGUCAAAGCAUGUGAUGAUGUUCACUGCCAGGUCAAAGCAUGUGAUGAUGUUCACUGCCGGAUCAAAGCAUGUGAUGAUGUUCACUGCCAGGUAAAAGCAUGUGAUGAUGUUCACUGCCAGGUCAAAGCAUGUGAUGAUGUUCACUGCCGGAUUAAAGCAUGUGACAGUGUUCAUUGCCAGGUCAAAGCAUGUGAUGAUGUUCACUGCCGGGUCAAAGCAUGUGAUGAUGUUCACUGCCGGAUUAAAGCAUGUGACAUUGUUCACUGCCAGGUCAAAGCAUGUGAUGAUGUUCACUGCCGGGUCAAAGCAUGUGAUGAUGUUCGCUGCCGGGUCAAAGCAUGUGGUGAUGUUCACUGCCGGGUCAAAGCAUGUGAUGAUGUUCACUGCCGGAUCACUCGUCACGAUAUGGCUGAAAUAUUGCCGAUGUAAUGUAAAGCUUUAACUCACUCACUCACUGCCGGAUCAAAGCAUGUGAUGAUGUUCACUGCGAGUUCAAAGCAUGUGAUGAUGUUCACUGCCAGUUCAAAGCUUGUGAUGAUGUUCACUGCCAGGUCAAAGCAUGUGAUGAUGUUCACUGCCGGGUCAAAGCAUGUGAUGAUGUUCACUGCCAGUUCAAAGCAUGUGAUGAUGUUUACUGCCAGAUUAAAGCAUGUGAUGAUGUUCACUGCCAGGUCAAAGCAUGUGAUGAUGUUCACUGCCGGGUCAAAGCAUGUGAUUGUGUUCACUGCCGGAUUAAAGCAUGUGGUGAUGUUCACUGCCGGGUCAAAGCAUGUGAUUGUGUUCACUGCCGGAUUAAAGCAUGUGGUGAUGUUCACUACCGGGUCAAAGCAUGUGAUUGUGUUCAUUGCCAGGUCAAAGCAGAUGGUCGUGUUCACUGACUGUAUGCUUGUAGUGAUAUCUGAUAGAUACUGGGAUCGUCUCUGUGCGUAAUGGAGCAAGGGAGGCCACCUUUUGUUUAACAUGUCAUCAAAAAACAGGUGUACUUUGUCAUUAUCGUUUCCUUUUGUUAAACUUACAUAGUCAUCAAUGUGUGUCUUGUGCCAUUUUGUUGAAGUAUCUGUACAAUUUUAUUGUGUGGCUUGAUCAGUUCAUGUCCUACCAUACACUCAGUGAUAAAUAGUUGUCUCCGGGUAGAUCAGUUUCUGGUUGCAGGGUGUAUGGUAUCAGAAAAUAAGGGACAACUUAUAGCCUAUCAUCAUCUGUACUUCCAGGGCUAACAUCUUGGUCAACCUGCACUAACCCCUGGAUUCGUUCCUGUGGUUCUCGCAAUCUCAAGUAACACCACCUUGAUUUUAAUUUGGCAAUUUGAUUGGCUACACUACUAGGUCUAACGUACCAAUCAGAAUGUGAGUUACAAACCAGUCUCAAAGUUGGGUUGGCCAGUUCUAUUGAGUAUGGUUGGGAACGCGAGAAAUUCAACAUUCAAAAACUGACUGAAUUUAUUUUUUUUAAUGGAAAGGAUGUCUUCAUGUCCAUUAAAACUGGUGGUGGCUUUGGUUUCUAGGUAAUAUAGUUACCUCCCUGUUGAUGUUAGAUUGGUCGGUAAAGUGUCAUUGAAAAUCAAGGGUGGGUUAUUUGCGAUGGCAAAAACCUCGGGGAUGAAUCCAUGGGUUAGUGUAGGUUUAUUGAAAUGCUAGCCCUGGAGAUUUAGAGGAUGAUACAUACAGUAUAAAAAAAACAAAACAUUUGUACAAUACAGUGAGGUGCAGUGGAUUGUCAAGUGGUUAAAGCAUUUCGGCACUGUGCCACUCUCCAUGUGGGUAACAUACUAAAAGCAGUGAAAAAACUUGCACCCUCAAUACACUGCAGAUGUUAACCAUCCUGUCUUGUGUGUUUUGUAUGCUUCUGUAUUUUUCUUUGUUAAUGCUGAGACCAAGUCUGUAGACUUACUUAUUUAUGGUGCUGAAUAAAUAUCAUACAGCAAA